This 358-nucleotide ribosomal RNA is filed under the name uncultured bacterium. RNAcentral's name for it is "bacterial SSU rRNA". It matches the Rfam family "Bacterial small subunit ribosomal RNA", at positions 28 to 351 of the family's 1533-position model. The record is from RNAcentral.
GACGAACGCUGGCGGCGUGCCUAAUACAUGCAAGUCGAACGCACUCUCGUUUAGAUUGAAGGAGCUUGCUCCUGAUUGAUAAACAUUUGAGUGAGUGGCGGACGGGUGAGUAACACGUGGGUAACCUGCCCUAAAGUGGGGGAUAACAUUUGGAAACAGAUGCUAAUACCGCAUAAAACCUAACACCGCAUGGUGUAGGGUUGAAAGAUGGUUUCGGCUAUCACUUUAGGAUGGACCCGCGGUGCAUUAGUUAGUUGGUGAGGUAAAGGCUCACCAAGACCGUGAUGCAUAGCCGACCUGAGAGGGUAAUCGGCCACACUGGGACUGAGACACGGCCCAGACUCCUACGGGAGGCGAG